UUAGUUUAUUUAACUAUUUUCAGAUUUAACAUGGUUAAAAAGAGUUUAUUGCGGGCUACUGACGAGCACUGGCCAAGGGUCAAAACCCCCGACGGUCCGGUUAAAGACGGGCCCGCCAAAGCAACAUGGUAGUUAUACAAAGGGUUGGAGGUCGGGCCUAGAAGACCCUAACUCAUUAAUGAUCCUUCCGCAGGUUCACCUACGGAAA
RNAcentral lists this unclassified non-coding RNA (208 nucleotides) under uncultured fungus. RNAcentral describes it as "sequence contains ITS1, 5.8S rRNA gene". The record is from RNAcentral. Lineage: Eukaryota; Fungi.